Odocoileus virginianus texanus is the source of this 336-nucleotide long non-coding RNA. RefSeq lists it as uncharacterized. Lineage: Eukaryota; Metazoa; Chordata; Mammalia; Artiodactyla; Cervidae. The record is from RefSeq and is a predicted model, not a curated record.
AUUCUUUACCAACAGCCACCAGGGAAGCCCUCAGACACUUGGAAAACAACUCCAUCUGUUUCAAGUGGUGCUGACUCCAACCCAUGUAGGCCAAAGAAGUGACUCAGACCAAAUUUUAAGUUCCUCAUUCGCUUGGCACAUCAUCAAAGAUGGACUAAUAAGAACAAUUCCUGUACUUUUUCUUCCUUGAGUCAUUAAGGCAGAAAAGGGCCUGAACGUUCAAAAAAAAGUUAAAGAUGGUAAGGGUUAUCAUAUGCCCUGGAUUGAGUAGUUCUCCAAGUUAGAACCAACCUUAGAAUUUUCGAUUAUGAAACAAUAAACUUGGCUUAAUUGUGA